Chrysemys picta bellii (western painted turtle) is the source of this 1726-nucleotide long non-coding RNA. RefSeq lists it as uncharacterized. The record is from RefSeq and is a predicted model, not a curated record. NCBI's taxonomy places the organism in Eukaryota, Metazoa, Chordata, Testudines, Emydidae.
CUCUGGGCUGUAGGGACAGAGCAGACAUGCUAUAAGCAGCGUAAGCCAGGUGUGAUCAUAAAUCAUCAGAUCAUGCCUAGAACUACUUAUCUGAACUCCACAUGUGUCAGACUGGAACCACCUGGGUAUGUUCUCAGCAAUAUCAGGAGUUCUCUAGAUGCUUCAGCAAGAGAUAAGGAUCCACAGAUGCAAGAACAGAUGGCUUCAGAGCACUGAGAGCAGAGCCAGAUUCCUUCCCAGCGCUGUGAAUUCCCCAAUAUACUUGAAAGCAAAAGUGGAGCUACAGCCCUUCUGAGCUGGGCUGCGUGGUGAACGCUUGAAGCCUCUCCUUAUGUGACGUAUGCUGGAUCCACCUUAGAACACAGAACUGUCCUCCAAGCCUACUGUACACCUUGAAGGUAGGUGGCUUAGUAGUGCUUUAGCUGGCUGUUACUACCACACUUAGUAACUGUGGUGUGCCAAGAACUGCUUCACCCUUCCACGGAAGUCAGAGGUGAAAACUAUUUACUCAUUUCAUCUGGCCCAUGCAAGUUCUGCUGUAUGCACCGUCUAGCUGUAGAUACUCUGCGGUUGAAGCAUCUUCCUGCCAUUUAUUAUUAGCUUUUCAUUUUUAAAUGUUGUUGUACCUACUCUUGGGUCACAGCCUUAUGACCAAAUUAUACCUCUGCAUGCAUGCGUCGGGUUCUUACUCUUAAUGGGAACCAUGUGGCUGCAGCUGAAACAGGAGACACAUGGGACCAUGGUCUUGUGUGUGUGUAUAUACAAUAGUGAAGACAAGAGCCUCAGCUGAUGUAAAUAAGUAUGGGUUUUUUUACUUCAAUGGAGCAGCACCACUUUACAUAAGCUGGAGAGGUAGGUGGCCCCGCCUCUUGACGAAACAGCAGUUUAAAAAAAAAAAAAGGUUAGUUAAACAUUCUUAAAAGCCGGGGAGAACUUGUACAAGACAGUGUUUUAUUUGUUUCAUAAUCAGGUAAAAUUAUAUUAAUGUAAAACAGGUAAACAGACAAAAAUAAAACACACAGCACAGAACACUAUGCUAUAGAAUAUAGACAUGGAGAAGUGCAAACCCCUCCCCCGUGCCCCUUUCCCCCCACCCCCAACAAUCUGCUUUAAAAGUAACUAUACAAGAUUAACUGUCUUAGAAAUUGGGAAAAUAAAAAUACUGCUUUUUCUUAAACCGAGGUGGGAGGGGGGAAUCCAUAGAAACAAUUUUCACUCCAAUAUCAAAAAAGCAGGAUUUUCAGUGAACACAAAAUUCUAUAAAAUUACCAUUGAUUCGUGUUAAUUUUUUUCAGAUUUUUUAAAGUUGCUUUAAAAAGGAUAAAAAGUGCACAGACACCCUUAUAAGGCACAAACAGAUCUUCUGUACAAAUCAUAUCAGACUAAAAAAUAUAUAUAGCAAUACAAGUACAAACAAUUAAAUUCCUAUGAGGACACCUUUUUCCUGGGAAAUCUUAGAGGCCUCUCUGGAUCUCCGUUGGAAAAUCCUCAACCAACUGGAAUAGGUAGGGAGACACGUCCACUAACGCUCAUUUCACAAUCCACGGCACAGCCACACUGUGGACAUUAAACUAGCUUAAUUACCCUGAAUGAACGAGCCCUCGUAGUCUCUGCUGGAUGCUGCUGUUUUGGAAAUCGGUUUGCAGCUGCUAUUCUGGGAAUUUAAACCUGUGCAACAUUUGCUCUUCCCAGCUCUCUCCCCUGCAUUGACCCAUCAUCUGAAAAA